UAGACCUGAUUGAUUGAAAACAAAUUAAUAGG
Molecule: non-coding RNA, 32 nt
Filed under: Mus musculus (house mouse)
Lineage: Eukaryota; Metazoa; Chordata; Mammalia; Rodentia; Muridae
Source: RNAcentral